Molecule: long non-coding RNA, 515 nt
Filed under: Cicer arietinum (chickpea)
Lineage: Eukaryota; Viridiplantae; Streptophyta; Magnoliopsida; Fabales; Fabaceae
Description: long non-coding RNA (CARI_LNC003783)
Source: RNAcentral
UGAAAUGAUUGAAUUUGUUUUAUGGAUUCAUAAAUAUAUAUAUUAGAAGCAAAUAAAAUUAACGACGGUACAAGGGGUACUCCAAACCCAUUCCAAAAUAGAAGUGUUAAUGAUUUUAAAGAUACCCCUAAAGAUUAUAUCACCAAAGCUCAAAGUAAGAAGAAGAACUGCCUCUAAGUCUAGCCAUAAAUCACCACCAAGAGAUAGUUUUAACGUUAUCUAACAAAAGAGCCAAAUCCUCCAUCGCCUCCAUUAAACCAAAUAUUUCCAUCUGCCACGAGCUUUCCCUGCUAACGUCAGUCUGCCCGCCUCAAAAUGAUCAACCCGUACAAGAUCCUGCACAUCUCCAAUUCCUAGCCAAAUAAAGACUUUCUCCCACACAAGCUCGAUGAAAGGACGCAAAAAGAAUAAAGGGUCAAUAGUCUCGGCCAAAUGAAAACAAUACACUCAAUAAGUGUUAGAUAAUAUUUACUUGUAUGGUUAGGUUUGGAAAGACACGAGUCUCAGGUACAAAU